RNAcentral lists this unclassified non-coding RNA (190 nucleotides) under plant metagenome. RNAcentral's name for it is "partial contains small subunit ribosomal RNA, internal transcribed spacer 1, and 5.8S ribosomal RNA". The record is from RNAcentral.
UUUCCGUAGGUGAACCUGCGGAAGGAUCAUUACCGGGCUCCUGCCCUCUGGGUAGAGACGCCACCCUUGCGUACCUGACCGCUGUUGCUUUGGCGGGCUGUGCCCGCCAGAGGCCCCAAACCCUGAGUGUGCGUGUCGUCGGAGCAGUACCUAAUAGUUAAAACUUUCAACAACGGAUCUCUUGGUUCUG